RNAcentral lists this ribosomal RNA (402 nucleotides) under uncultured bacterium. RNAcentral's name for it is "bacterial SSU rRNA". It matches the Rfam family "Bacterial small subunit ribosomal RNA", at positions 355 to 774 of the family's 1533-position model. The record is from RNAcentral.
UGGGGAGUAUCGGACAAUGGGCGAAAGCCUGACCCAGCCAUGCCGCAUGAGUGAAGAAGGCCUUUGGGUUGUAAAGCUCUUUUAGUGAGGAAGAUAAUGACGGUACUCACAGAAGAAGUCCUGGCUAACUCCGUGCCAGCAGCCGCGGUAAUACGGAGAGGGCUAGCGUUAUUCGGAAUUAUUGGGCGUAAAGGGCGCGUAGGCUGGUUAGUAAGUUAAAAGUGAAAUCCCGAGGCUUAACCUUGGAACUGCUUUUAAAACUGCUAACCUAGAGAUUGAAAGAGGAUAGAGGAAUUCCUAGUGUAGAGGUGAAAUUCGUAAAUAUUAGGAGGAACACCAGUGGCGAAGGCGUCUAUCUGGUUCAAAUCUGACGCUGAGGCGCGAAGGCGUGGGGAGCAAACA